GACGAACGCUGGCGGCGUGCUUAACACAUGCAAGUCGAACGGAAAGGCCCUGCUUUUGUGGGGUGCUCGAGUGGCGAACGGGUGAGUAACACGUGAGUAACCUGCCCUUGACUUUGGGAUAACUUCAGGAAACUGGGGCUAAUACCGGAUAGGAGCUCCUGCUGCAUGGUGGGGGUUGGAAAGUUUCGGCGGUUGGGGAUGGACUCGCGGCUUAUCAGCUUGUUGGUGGGGUAGUGGCUUACCAAGGCUUUGACGGGUAGCCGGCCUGAGAGGGUGACCGGCCACAUUGGGACUGAGAUACGGCCCAGACUCCUACGGGAGGUAGCAGUGGGGAAUAUUGCACAAUGGGCGGAAGCCUGAUGCAGCAACGCCGCGUGCGGGAAGACGGCCUUCGGGUUGUAAACCGCUUUCGCCUGUGACGAAGCGUGAGUGACGGUAAUGGGUAAAGAAGCACCGGCUAACUACGUG
Molecule: ribosomal RNA, 468 nt
Filed under: uncultured bacterium
Lineage: Bacteria
Description: partial 16S ribosomal RNA
Rfam family: Bacterial small subunit ribosomal RNA
Source: RNAcentral